GCGGCCUAUCAGCUUGUUGGUGAGGUAAAAGCUCACCAAGGCGACGACGGGUAGCCGGCCUGAGAGGGUGACCGGCCACACUGGAACUGAGAUACGGUCCAGACUCCUACGGGAGGCAGCAGUGGGGAAUAUUGCACAAUGGGCGCAAGCCUGAUGCAGCAACGCCGCGUGAGGGAUGAAGGCCUUCGGGUUGUAAACCUCUUUUAUCAGGGAAGAAGCGAAAGUGACGGUACCUGAAGAAAAAGCACCGGCUAACUACGUGCCAGCAGCCGCGGUAAUACGUAGGGUGCAAGCGUUGUCCGGAAUUAUUGGGCGUAAAGAGCUCGUAGGUGGUUCGUUACGUCGGAUGUGAAAAUCUGGGGCUCAACCCCAGACCUGCAUUCGAUACGGGCGAGCUAGAGUUUGGUAGGGGAGACUGGAAUUCCU
RNAcentral lists this ribosomal RNA (426 nucleotides) under uncultured Actinomycetes bacterium. Its description in RNAcentral is "bacterial SSU rRNA". It matches the Rfam family "Bacterial small subunit ribosomal RNA", at positions 233 to 671 of the family's 1533-position model. The record is from RNAcentral. Lineage: Bacteria; Bacillati; Actinomycetota; Actinomycetes.